GACGAACGCUGGCGGCGUGCUUAACACAUGCAAGUCGAACGGAAAGGCCCCUUUGGGGGUACUCGAGUGGCGAACGGGUGAGUAACACGUGAGUAACCUGCCUUCGACUUCGGGUUAACUUCAGGAAACUGGGGCUAAUACCGGAUAGGAAUCCUUGCUGCAUGGUGGGGGUUGGAAAGCUUCGGCGGUUUUGGAUGGACUCGCGGCUUAUCAGCUUGUUGGUGGGGUAGUGGCUUACCAAGGCUUUGACGGGGAGCCGGCCUGAGUGGGCGACCGGCCACAUUGGGACUGGGAUACGGGCCAGACUCCUACGGGGGGCAACCGUUGGGGAUAUUGCACAAUGGGCGGGAGCCUGAUGCAGCCACGCCGCGGGCGGGAUGACGGCCUUCGGGUUGUAAACCGCUUUCAGCAGGGGCGAAACUUGUGGUGACGGUACCUGCAGAAGAAGCACCGGCUAACUACGUG
RNAcentral lists this ribosomal RNA (465 nucleotides) under uncultured bacterium. RNAcentral's name for it is "partial 16S ribosomal RNA". It matches the Rfam family "Bacterial small subunit ribosomal RNA", at positions 28 to 507 of the family's 1533-position model. The record is from RNAcentral.